UAAACCAAUAUUAGAGGGUAUGUCAUAAUUUAUGUACAACUUCCUAGAUCAAAGGUCAAGGUCAAAAACUUUGGUUUCAGUUGACAACCCCAUGUCCUAUGGUAAAGAUCAUGUCCGCUCUAUAUCUUGAGAACCGUUAUCAUUUCAAAGUUUAUACUUGACAUGUAUAUAAACCAACACCAAAGGGUGUGUCAUAAUUUAUGUGCAA
RNAcentral lists this long non-coding RNA (208 nucleotides) under Mytilus galloprovincialis (Mediterranean mussel). The record is from RNAcentral. Lineage: Eukaryota; Metazoa; Mollusca; Bivalvia; Mytilida; Mytilidae.